ACAGGGAUUGCCCUAGUAACGGCGAGUGAAGCGGCAACAGCUCAAAUUUGAAAUCUGGCUCUUUCAGGGUCCGAGUUGUAAUUUGCAGAGGGCGCUUUGGCGUUGGCAGCGGUCCAAGUUCUUUGGAACAGGACGUCACAGAGGGUGAGAAUCCCGUACGUGGUCGCUAGCCUUCGCCGUGUAAAGCCCCUUCGACGAGUCGAGUUGUUUGGGAAUGCAGCUCUAAAUGGGAGGUAAAUUUCUUCUAAAGCUAAAUACUGGCCAGAGACCGAUAGCGCACAAGUAGAGUGAUCGAAAGAUGAAAAGCACUUUGGAAAGAGAGUCAAAUAGCACGUGAAAUUGUUGAAAGGGAAGCGCUUGCAGCCAGACUUGCCUGUAGUUGCUUAUCUGGACUUUUGUCCGGUGCACUCUUCUGCGGGCAGGCCAGCAUCAGUUUGGGCGGUUGGAUAAAGGUCUCUGUCAUGUACCUCCUUUCGGGGAGGCCUUAUAGGGGAGACGACAUGCAACCAGCCUGGACUGAGGUCCGCGCAUCUGCUAGGAUGCUGGCGUAAUGGCUGUAAGCGGCCCGUCUUGAAACACGGACCAAGGAGUCUAACAUCUAUGCGAGUGUUUGGGUGUCAAGCCCAGACGCGUAAUGAAAGUGAACGGAGGUGGGAACCCUUUGGGUGCACCAUCGACCGAUCCUGAUGUCUUCGGAUGGAUUUGAGUAAGAGCAUGGCUGUUGGGACCCGAAAGAUGGUGAACUAUGCUUGAAUAGGGUGAAGCCAGAGGAAACUCUGGUGGAGGCUCGCAGCGGUUCUGACGUGCAAAUCGAUCGUCAAAUUUGGGCAUAGGGGCGAAAGACUAAUCGAACUAUCUAGUAGCUGGUUCCUGCCGAAGUUUCCCUCAGGAUAGCAGUAACGUAUUCAGUUUUAUGAGGUAAAGCGAAUGAUUAGAGGCCUGGGGGUUGAAACAACCUUCACCUAUUCUCAAACUUUAAAUAUGUAAGAAGUCCUUGUUACUUGAUUGAACGUGGACACUUGAAUGUACCGUUACUAGUGGGCCAUUUUUGGUAAGCAGAACUGGCGAUGCGGGAUGAACCGAACGCGGGGUUAAGGUGCCAGAAUAUACGCUCAUCAGACACCACAAAAGGUGUUAGUUCAUCUAGACAGCAGGACGGUGGCCAUGGAAGUCGGAAUCCGCUAAGGAGUGUGUAACAACUCACCUGCCGAAUGAACUAGCCCUGAAAAUGGAUGGCGCUCAAGCGUAUUACCCAUACCCCGCCGCCGGGGCAGAAUUUAUGCCCCGGCGAGUAGGCAGGCGUGGAGGCUCGUGACGAAGCCUUGG
Molecule: ribosomal RNA, 1326 nt
Filed under: Phaeosphaeria oryzae
Lineage: Eukaryota; Fungi; Ascomycota; Dothideomycetes; Pleosporales; Phaeosphaeriaceae
Description: eukaryotic LSU rRNA
Rfam family: Eukaryotic large subunit ribosomal RNA
Source: RNAcentral